Alosa sapidissima (American shad) is the source of this 110-nucleotide long non-coding RNA. RefSeq lists it as uncharacterized. Lineage: Eukaryota; Metazoa; Chordata; Actinopteri; Clupeiformes; Clupeidae. The transcript is spliced from 3 exons. The record is from RefSeq and is a predicted model, not a curated record.
ACACACACAGCACACACAUAUAUCAGGGGUGUGAUUAGCAAAGGUAAAAAAAGAGGAAAAUAUACGUACCACGGAGUGACACCCCCCCCCCCCCCCCCCAUUGGUUUGAG